RNAcentral lists this non-coding RNA (51 nucleotides) under Trypanosoma brucei brucei. The record is from RNAcentral. Lineage: Eukaryota; Euglenozoa; Kinetoplastea; Trypanosomatida; Trypanosomatidae.
GCAUAUAAAUAGAUCUGUAUACAAGUGAUAGUGAUAAUUAAGAUAAUAUAU